Non-coding RNA from Cephalotrichum gorgonifer, 99 nucleotides. The record is from the annotation of a GenBank genome assembly. NCBI's taxonomy places the organism in Eukaryota, Fungi, Ascomycota, Sordariomycetes, Microascales, Microascaceae.
GGGCACGUGGCGUAGUGGUAUCGCGUUUGCUUCGCACUGUUAUCGGCAUCUUCCGAUCGUGAUUGUAAAAGGUCUCCGGUUCAAUCCCGGACGUGUCCA